AACGAACGCUGGCGGCGCGCCUAAUACAUGCAAGUCGAGCGAGAAGACGUAGCAAUACGUUUGUAAAGCGGCGAACGGGUGAGGAAUACAUGGGUAACCUACCCUCGAGUGGGGAAUAACUAGCCGAAAGGUUAGCUAAUACCGCGUACGCUCCUUGGACUUCGGUUCAGGGAGGAAAGCGAUACCGUGGGUAUCGCGCUCUUGGAUGGGCUCAUGUCCUAUCAGCUUGUUGGUGAGGUAACGGCUCACCAAGGCUUCGACGGGUAGCUGGUCCGAGAGGACGAUCAGCCACACUGGCACUGCGACACGGGCCAGACUCCUACGGGAGGCAGCAGUAAGGAAUAUUGCGCAAUGGGCGAAAGCCUGACGCAGCGACGCCGCGUGGGGGAGUGAAGGGUCUUC
Molecule: ribosomal RNA, 402 nt
Filed under: uncultured bacterium
Lineage: Bacteria
Description: bacterial SSU rRNA
Rfam family: Bacterial small subunit ribosomal RNA
Source: RNAcentral